UCCCGCUUAUCACGGGCAGUUCCCCUAAAGUGCCCAGCUUGACCUGCUGGCAACCAAGGGUGUGGGUUGCGCUCGUUGCCGGACCUAACCGAACAUCUCACGACACGAGCUGACGACAGCCAUGCACCACCUGUCAGGGGCCCUUACGGACACCGUAUCUCUGCGGCUUUUCCCCUGAUGUCAAGCCCAGGUAAGGUUCUUCGCGUUGCCUCGAAUUAAACCACAUGCUCCACCGCUUGUGCAGGCCCCCGUCAAUUCCUUUGAGUUUCGGUCUUGCGACCGUACUCCCCAGGCGGAGUGUUUCACGCGUUAGCUGGGCCCCUGAUCCACGUAGACCAAGGGCGAACACUCAUCGUUUACGGCAUGGACUGC
RNAcentral lists this unclassified non-coding RNA (372 nucleotides) under uncultured Pseudomonadota bacterium. RNAcentral's name for it is "uncultured proteobacterium contains 16S-23S intergenic spacer region". Lineage: Bacteria; Pseudomonadati; Pseudomonadota. The record is from RNAcentral.